Molecule: non-coding RNA, 624 nt
Filed under: Ziziphus jujuba (common jujube)
Lineage: Eukaryota; Viridiplantae; Streptophyta; Magnoliopsida; Rosales; Rhamnaceae
Description: tRNA-Leu
Rfam family: Group I catalytic intron (bases 26-548)
About the family: Group I catalytic introns are large self-splicing ribozymes. They catalyse their own excision from mRNA, tRNA and rRNA precursors in a wide range of organisms.
Source: RNAcentral
GGGGAUAUGGCGAAAUUGGUAGACGCUACGGACUUAAUUGGAUUGAGCCUUGGUAUGGAAACCUACCAAGUGAUAACUUUCAAAUUCAGAGAAACCCUGGAAUUAUAAAUGGGCAAUCCUGAGCCAAAUCCUGUUUUCUGAAAGAUUCAGAAAGUGAUAAUAAAAAAGGAUAGGUGCAGAGACUCAAUGGAAGCUGUUCUAACAAAUGGAGUUGGCUGCGAUGCAUUAGUAAAGGAAUCCUUCUAUCGAAACUCCAGAAAGGAUGAAGAAUAAACCUAUAUAUACGUAUACGUACUGAAAUACUAUUAUAUACGUAUACGUACUGAAAUACUAUCUCCAAGCCAAAUGAUUAAUGAUGACCCGAAUCUUUUUUUUUUAUAUAUGUUUAUAUGAAAAAUGAAAGAAUUGCUGUGAAUCGAUUCCAAGUAAAAAAAAUGGAAUAUUCAUUGAUCAAAUCAUUUACUCCAUCGUAAUCUGAUAGAUCUUUUGAAAAAUUGAUUAAUCGGACGAGAAUAAAGAUAGAGUCCCAUUCUACAUGUCAAUAUCGACAACAAUGAAAUUUAUAGUAAGAGGAAAAAUCCGUCGACUUUAGAAAUCGUGAGGGUUCAAGUCCCUCUAUCCCCA